GUGUCAGCAGCCGCGGUAAUACGUAGGGUGCGAGCGUUAAUCGGAAUUACUGGGCGUAAAGCGUGCGCAGGCGGUGAUGUAAGACAGAUGUGAAAUCCCCGGGCUCAACCUGGGAACUGCGUUUGUGACUGCAUCACUCGAGUACGGCAGAGGGAGGUGGAAUUCCGCGUGUAGCAGUGAAAUGCGUAGAUAUGCGGAGGAACACCGAUGGCGAAGGCAGCCUCCUGGGCCAGUACUGACGCUCAUGCACGAAAGCGUGGGGAGCAAACAGGAUUAGAUACCCUGGUAGUCCACGCCCUAAACGAUGUCAACUAGUUGUUCGGUGAGGAGACUCAUUGAGUAACGCAGCUAACGCGUGAAGUUGACCGCCUGGGGAGUACGGCCGCAAGGUUAAA
Molecule: ribosomal RNA, 395 nt
Filed under: uncultured bacterium
Lineage: Bacteria
Description: bacterial SSU rRNA
Rfam family: Bacterial small subunit ribosomal RNA
Source: RNAcentral